CCCGCUGAACUUAAGCAUAUCAAUAAGCGGAGGAAAAGAAACCAACAGGGAUUGCCCUAGUAACGGCGAGUGAAGCGGCAACAGCUCAAAUUUGAAAUCUGGCUCUUUCAGGGUCCGAGUUGUAAUUUGCAGAGGGCGCUUUGGCUUUGGCAGCGGUCCAAGUUCCUUGGAACAGGACGUCACAGAGGGUGAGAAUCCCGUACGUGGUCGCUAGCUAUUGCCGUGUAAAGCCCCUUCGACGAGUCGAGUUGUUUGGGAAUGCAGCUCUAAAUGGGAGGUAAAUUUCUUCUAAAGCUAAAUACUGGCCAGAGACCGAUAGCGCACAAGUAGAGUGAUCGAAAGAUGAAAAGCACUUUGGAAAGAGAGUCAAACAGCACGUGAAAUUGUUGAAAGGGAAGCGCUUGCAGCCAGACUUGCUUGCAGUUGCUCAUCCGGACUUUUGUCCGGUGCACUCUUCUGCAGGCAGGCCAGCAUCAGUUUGGGCGGUGGGAUAAAGGUCUCUGUCACGUACCUCUCUUCGGGGAGGCCUUAUAGGGGAGACGACAUACCACCAGCCUGGACUGAGGUCCGCGCAUUUGCUAGGAUGCUGGCGUAAUGGCUGUAAGCGGCCCGUCUUGAAACACGGACCAAGGAGUCUAACAUCUAUGCGAGUGUUUGGGUGUCAAGCCCGAACGCGUAAUGAAAGUGAACGGAGGUGGGAACCCGCAAGGGUGCACCAUCGACCGAUCCUGAUGUCUUCGGAAGGAUUUGAGUAAGAGCAUGGCUGUUGGGACCCGAAAGAUGGUGAACUAUGCUUGAAUAGGGUGAAGCCAGAGGAAACUCUGGUGGAGGCUCGCAGCGGUUCUGACGUGCAAAUCGAUCGUCAAAUUUGGGCAUAGGGGCGAAAGACUAAUCGAACUAUCUAGUAGCUGGUUCCUGC
RNAcentral lists this ribosomal RNA (919 nucleotides) under Pyrenophora biseptata. RNAcentral's name for it is "eukaryotic LSU rRNA". It matches the Rfam family "Eukaryotic large subunit ribosomal RNA", at positions 24 to 961 of the family's 3401-position model. Lineage: Eukaryota; Fungi; Ascomycota; Dothideomycetes; Pleosporales; Pleosporaceae. The record is from RNAcentral.